This 491-nucleotide ribosomal RNA is filed under the name uncultured bacterium. RNAcentral's name for it is "partial 16S ribosomal RNA". It matches the Rfam family "Bacterial small subunit ribosomal RNA", at positions 29 to 507 of the family's 1533-position model. The record is from RNAcentral.
AGUGAACGCUGGCGGUAGGCCUAACACAUGCAAGUCGAAUGGCAGCACAGUAAGAGCUUGCUCUUACGGGUGGCGAGUGGCGGACGGGUGAGGAAUACAUCGGAAUCUACUUUUUCGUGGGGGAUAACGUAGGGAAACUUACGCUAAUACCGCAUACGACCUACGGGUGAAAGCAGGGGAUCUUCGGACCUUGCGCGAUUGAAUGAGCCGAUGUCGGAUUAGCUAGUUGGCGGGGUAAAGGCCCACGAGGCGACGAUCCGUAGCUGGUCUGAGAGGAUGAUCAGCCACACUGGAACUGAGACACGGUCCAGACUCCUACGGGAGGCAGCAGUGGGGAAUAUUGGACAAUGGGCGCAAGCCUGAUCCAGCCAUACCGCGUGGGUGAAGAAGGCCUUCGGGUUGUAAAGCCCUUUUGUUGGGAAAGAAAAGCAGCAGGUUAAUACCCCGCUGUUCUGACGGUACCCAAAGAAUAAGCACCGGCUAACUUCGUG